RNAcentral lists this small RNA (751 nucleotides) under Arabidopsis thaliana (thale cress). Its description in RNAcentral is "ATSL287110". The record is from RNAcentral. Lineage: Eukaryota; Viridiplantae; Streptophyta; Magnoliopsida; Brassicales; Brassicaceae.
AUACUUCCAAAAUAUUUAAUAUCAUUUAAUUACUACAAAAUUAUCAUUUUUGAUAUUGAUUUUCUCCAUAACUAUAACAAUUCGAUUAUAAUCAUCAAAGCGCAGAGAUAUAAUCUGAUAGCAUUUAAUUACUACAAAAUUACAAAAUAUUUAGACAAUGAUUCAUAAACAUAUCAUAAAUAAGAUCAACAUUAAUAAAAUAAAUAGUUUUUUUUUUACAGGACGGGUUUGACAGGACGAUACUUAAUAACAUUUGUAAACUAUAAAAUAAAAUUAUUUUAUAGAUAGAUACAAUUUGUAAACUUUUAUAUAUACUAACUUUAAAAAAUAAAUUGUUCCCGCGGUAUACCACAGGUUAAAAUCUAGUUGUUUUUGUAUUUUAACUAAUAAUGUGGACUAAACUUUAGGUGGAAUACCUUUAGUUAACGGAUCCGCUUUCAUGAAAUUUCUACCUAUAUGCUUAACUGAAACCACAUCAUCUUGAAUCCUUUCUCACACAAUAUGACACUCUAUGUCUAUAUGCUUUGAUUGUUCUACUUUUGUUGUUGUUUGCAUAUACACUGCCGCAAAAUUGUCAGACUAAACUUUAAAUGAUCUUUCGACACAUAACCAACAUGUAGUGUUUUUCACAGACUGUUCAAACCUAAUGAAUAUAGUGUUUUCCCUAACCUAAUGGCCGGUGUAUUCUACAAUUUUGAAAGAUUUGCCUGAGUGACAAUAAAAAAAUCUCAAGCUUGUUUCUAUCUCUAAU